Molecule: long non-coding RNA, 584 nt
Filed under: Capsella rubella
Lineage: Eukaryota; Viridiplantae; Streptophyta; Magnoliopsida; Brassicales; Brassicaceae
Description: long non-coding RNA (CRUB_LNC005123)
Source: RNAcentral
UAAACAGAAUAUUGUUGUCUCAUCAUAUGAUUAUUAUAGACAUAUACGAAGCAUAAACCAUAAUCACGAUUUGUUUGUUUUAUUUUUUAGGAAACACAUGCAUGAUCUUAUACCUUAUUCCCGUUUGAUACUAGACAUAAUAGAAAAAUUUAACAUGUGCAUUUACAUAUUUUUAUAACUACAAAAAAGAUUUUGCAAUGAAAAGGACACUCGAGUGGGCAUGGCGGGUCUGUUGGUGGCUUUGGAGACGAGUGGAAAAUGGAUUCUUCUUGGAUCACAUUUGAGAUGAACUCUUUCUGUAUUAGACUUCGACUUUCUGCCUUUCCAAUACUUGAAAACGAAAUUUCUACAAUGUUUAAUUAAAUUAUGCCAAGUUAAUUAUAAAUUAGUCGUAUAGUAGAUUAUUAUUUAUCGAAUUACAAAAUUCAUUAUGUGAACGCCAAUUAAUUAAUCAGUGAAAUCUCAUAUCAUACAAUAUAUAUAUAUAUAUAUAUUUACCAGAGAUUAGAGCCAAGAAGAAAAAUAAAGUGAAGGUCUUCAAAAUAUUUUUCAUAAUUAUGAGCUGGUUUGUUAAGAAGAGAGAU